Molecule: ribosomal RNA, 68 nt
Filed under: Magnetococcales bacterium
Lineage: Bacteria; Pseudomonadati; Pseudomonadota; Magnetococcia; Magnetococcales
Description: partial 16S ribosomal RNA
Rfam family: Bacterial small subunit ribosomal RNA
Source: RNAcentral
GAUCAGCGACUGGGGUGAAGUCGUAACAAGGUAGCCGUAGGGGAACCUGUGGCUGGAUCACCUCCUUU